AACUUUCAGCUUUUACCACCAGCUACUGCAACAAGGUCAAAACAUGUUUUAUCUUUAACGAGAAUAGACAGAUAGUGAGAAAUGAAUUACCUAAGUGCAGAGUCAGCUGGUUUUAAUCAGCUAAAUGUGAAUAAUUUGUGUAAUGUAAUAUUAAUCUACAACCUCACAAAAGUUAACUUUUUUUAUCCUGCCAUCAGAGCCAGGGCUUCCUGUUUUAACAGAACUGCAAAAUGCUAAAAACCAGUUUAGGAUUACUGUGCACUGAGUCAGUAGCACCAAACCUUUUCCCUUUAGACCCCACUAUUUGUAUCUAAGAAAGGUUGAGAAUCCUGAGAAUUUGUGGGGCUCUAAGACAAUGCUAAACAUCGUAGCCAGUCUGUACACAGUUGCUGUGAGUGCUGUACAUAGCAGAAACACAGACUACUGAGUUUUAUCAGGAAUGUGUUCUGCUUCCAACUCUGUUCAGUGCUUCAAUGGAUGGACAUUUGGGAAGUGCUUUUGGAGUCAUAAGGUUGCUGGACCUCUAUCUUUGCAGAAAUGAGGGACCAAGUCUUUAGGGUCGUGUGCUUACCGUCUUGUGAUGCUUAGACGCUAACCAAGCAUCUUUGGGUACAGCUGGAAUAACUGUAUUAUAUUAACUUAGAGAAACCAAGAUGAGGAGUAUCACUUGCAUUGUGAGGGAUUGAACACCAUCCACUUGAUGGUCAAGUAAUUAAAAGUGGUGGGCUUAUAACCACAGGAUCCUCUGUUCAAAUCUCCAUCAGUCCAGAAAAUCACUAAUGGCCUUUGGGCAAGGUCCUUAAUCCCCAGGAUACUCCCUGUUUUCAGUUAAGCGCUUUGCAUGGCAGCACCCUGACGUUGUGUGUGAAUGUGAGGGAUCAAUGUAAAACAGUUUGACGCACAUGAAGGCACAACAGAAAUUCAGUCCAUUUAUAUGUCUUUUUAAAACAAAUCUCAACACUGGUGUUUAAGGUUUUAUUGAACAUUUUCUAUACAACAGACACAUAAAACAGAUAUAAAAGAAGCAGGAUCUUAAUUCUAGUCAGAGAUGGGUAAUUCUUCCAACGUCAUGCCAAUCUCUUGCAGUUUGGGGUCAUCCAGCCAGUUGAUUUUACAGGCCAAGAAGAUGCCCUAAAAAUUAAACACAA
Thalassophryne amazonica is the source of this 1148-nucleotide long non-coding RNA. RefSeq lists it as uncharacterized. The record is from RefSeq and is a predicted model, not a curated record. NCBI's taxonomy places the organism in Eukaryota, Metazoa, Chordata, Actinopteri, Batrachoidiformes, Batrachoididae. The transcript is spliced from 2 exons.